ACUUAAGACCAUAAGCUGUCACAGGAAAUACUGUACGGCAUUAAAUAUUUACAGACGUUAGCAAAGUCUCGAAUUGAGAUCAGCCUAUGAAAUUUGUAAAUUCCUAAAGAUGUCAUCACAGUCGGGGACCAUGAUGGAGUUUCCUUCCAUGUUAAUUACAACAGAAUCAAAGGCAGCAAAACAAACCCGUGGAAAUUAAGUGCAAAAAUGAUCGAGUACUCACCUUAAGUGGAAUUCUUUACUCAACACGUAGGAACCACCUGCUUAGACGUUAGAAAAGAAGCUUCACUGAACUGCGGCCAUACUGGGGUACGACCUUGAAGGAUUUUGCCGAAAAAUUCGACUGCAGUAAUCAUUUUUUAAGUCUGGGACUUUGCUGAACAACUUAAUAUAUUCCUGUGAUUACUGAUGCAAACAUAGUUCAAAGGGUACCAGAACUGUGAUGGAAAAGCUUUGUCCAAUUUUAUGGCUGGACUAUUAAGUAAAUAAUCGGAGACAAUGAAAGAAACUGUAGAAGAUGUAUUUAACUGCGGCUUAUUAAAAUGAUUUUAUUAAAAUAUAAGGACAGAUUUUUGUUUAUACUUGUUCCUAUCUGAAGAAGACAUUAUAGAAAAUAUAUAAAACUUUAUGAAAUGUGCAACUACAUGAAUCAG
This is a long non-coding RNA of Octopus bimaculoides (California two-spot octopus), 653 nucleotides long. The record is from RefSeq and is a predicted model, not a curated record. Lineage: Eukaryota; Metazoa; Mollusca; Cephalopoda; Octopoda; Octopodidae.